UCGGAAGAUCAAGGUUCUGAGGAGCAAGGAGGUACCUCUGGUGUUGGUUCAGUGGCAACACCGGAAAGGAUCGGAAAUGACUUGGGAGCCGGAACGUGAGAUGCGGGAGCAGCAUCCGGAACUAUUUUCCGAGUGAGACUUCGAGGGCGAAGUCUAAUCCUAGUGGGGGAGAAUUGUAACAGCCCGGAAUCUCAGGUAUGGUUAAAAUUAUGUUUUUGGAGUGUUUUAAGAGGGGACUCGGCGAGUUGGAGCCUAGACUCGCCGAGUAGGACCGCAGACCUGGUCGCGGGUUCGCAACUGGACUCGACGAGUCCAGAUAUGGACUCGGCGAGUCUGCGCUGUUUAGCGAAAACCCUAACCGUUCAGGUUUGGGACGUAUAAAAGGGACUUAUUGGCCGUCAUUGUUCACUUUAGCCUUCUGAGAGAAACCCUAAAUCGAUUGUGUGCAUCUGGAGCAAGGUUAAAGGCCAUUGGUGAUUUUGAAGGAGUUGUUGUGCAAGGAAGAGAAGGGCUUGGCUAAAGGAACUGCAAGAGAGUCACGUUCUGAGGAUUGGGGACACAGAGAGUACAUCAUCCAGGGAGUUUGUAGCUCGGCGGAUCGAACACGAGUGAUUUCAGGAUUUGCUAGCUUUCAGUAUUCACGAGGUACUAGCGAGGACCGUGGGAAGGCGCCGGCGUGAUGUGUACACACUGAUUGAUGUUUUGAGAUCUUGGGAAUUCUAUGAAUUGUAUUUUGACAUAACACUUGGAAUAAUUAU
Non-coding RNA from Lactuca sativa (garden lettuce), 758 nucleotides. Lineage: Eukaryota; Viridiplantae; Streptophyta; Magnoliopsida; Asterales; Asteraceae. The record is from RefSeq and is a predicted model, not a curated record.